RNAcentral lists this ribosomal RNA (212 nucleotides) under uncultured bacterium. RNAcentral describes it as "partial 16S ribosomal RNA". It matches the Rfam family "Bacterial small subunit ribosomal RNA", at positions 1289 to 1500 of the family's 1533-position model. The record is from RNAcentral.
CAGUUCGGAUUGAAGGCUGAAAUUCGCCUUCAUGAAGCCGGAAUUGCUAGUAAUGGCAGGUCAGCAUACUGCCGUGAAUACGUUCCCGGGCCUUGUACACACCGCCCGUCACACCAUGAGAGUUGGGGAUACCCGAAGCCUGUGAGCUAACUUAACGGAGGCAGCAGUCGAAGGUAGAAUCAAUGAUUGGGGUGAAGUCGUAACAAGGUAAC